Molecule: long non-coding RNA, 449 nt
Organism: Solea solea (common sole)
Lineage: Eukaryota; Metazoa; Chordata; Actinopteri; Pleuronectiformes; Soleidae
Exons: 2
Source: RefSeq, a predicted model, not a curated record
AUUGUCUUCAAGGCAGAGGGGGCGGAGCUACAUCCGGUGAACGGAUCUGCUCGGUGCGUUUGUUACAGUAUACGACGUCACUCAAAUGUCACAUAAUCCACGUCAAAGAACACGGGCGGUUCUAAUACCUAACCGUCACACAAACAUCAGGAAGUUACAGAUAAAGCCAGGCUGGUGAAAACAUGAGCUCCUGGAGAAGGUAAUAAAGAUUUAAAAAAGACAACACAAAGCAAAAAGAGUUAAGUUUUUUAACGUUUAUUUCUUUCACUAUUUGAUACACCAAGUGCUUCAAGAACAAUGGUAACGAUCACAAACAUCAUUUCAACACAGCAGUGACUGUUUCCCUGCGUCUCAUCCCGCGGGUUUGGUCCAUUUUAUGUUCACGUCAAUAGAAACCAUGUCGUUUUCCCACGGGACUGACUCAGGGAAACGGGGGGGGGGGGGGGGGG